This 465-nucleotide ribosomal RNA is filed under the name uncultured Klebsiella sp. RNAcentral's name for it is "bacterial SSU rRNA". It matches the Rfam family "Bacterial small subunit ribosomal RNA", at positions 338 to 795 of the family's 1533-position model. Lineage: Bacteria; Pseudomonadati; Pseudomonadota; Gammaproteobacteria; Enterobacterales; Enterobacteriaceae. The record is from RNAcentral.
CCUACGGGUGGCAGCAGUGGGGAAUAUUGCACAAUGGGCGCAAGCCUGAUGCAGCCAUGCCGCGUGUGUGAAGAAGGCCUUCGGGUUGUAAAGCACUUUCAGCGGGGAGGAAGGCGUUAAGGUUAAUAACCUUGUCGAUUGACGUUACCCGCAGAAGAAGCACCGGCUAACUCCGUGCCAGCAGCCGCGGUAAUACGGAGGGUGCAAGCGUUAAUCGGAAUUACUGGGCGUAAAGCGCACGCAGGCGGUCUGUCAAGUCGGAUGUGAAAUCCCCGGGCUCAACCUGGGAACUGCAUUCGAAACUGGCAGGCUAGAGUCUUGUAGAGGGGGGUAGAAUUCCAGGUGUAGCGGUGAAAUGCGUAGAGAUCUGGAGGGAUACCGGUGGCGAAGGCGGCCCCCUGGACAAAGACUGGCGCUCAGGUGCGAAAGCGUGGGGAGCAAACAGGAUUAGAUACCCCUGUAGUC